This 421-nucleotide ribosomal RNA is filed under the name Bacillota bacterium. Its description in RNAcentral is "Firmicutes bacterium partial 16S ribosomal RNA". It matches the Rfam family "Bacterial small subunit ribosomal RNA", at positions 355 to 776 of the family's 1533-position model. Lineage: Bacteria; Bacillati; Bacillota. The record is from RNAcentral.
UGGGGAAUCUUGCGCAAUGGCCUAACGGCUGACGCAGCGACGCCGCGUGUGGGAUGAAGCUCUUCGGAGUGUAAACCACUGUUGCCCGGGACGAACAGCUCGAUUUCUCGAGCCUGACGGUACCGGGUGAGGAAGCACCGGCUAACUCCGUGCCAGCAGCCGCGGUAAUACGGGGGGUGCGAGCGUUGUCCGGAAUCACUGGGCGUAAAGGGCGCGUAGGUGGUUUGAUAAGGGUGUGGUGAAAGUCCGGGGCUCAACCCCGGAUCUGCCGUGCCGACUGUCAAACUCGAGGACUGUAGAGGCAGACGGAAUUCCGGGUGUAGCGGUGGAAUGCGUAGAGAUCCGGAGGAAGACCGGUGGCGAAGGCGGUCUGCUGGGCAGUUUCUGACACUGAGGCGCGACAGCGUGGGGAGCAAACAGG